AGCACAAUUGUUGGAUUGUAUGGUAAGGGUAUAAUUCAUUUUGUAAGAAUCUGUCAAAAUGUUUUCUAAAGUGACUAUACAAUUUUUCUUUGCACCUACGGU
Molecule: microRNA precursor, 102 nt
Filed under: Marmota monax (woodchuck)
Lineage: Eukaryota; Metazoa; Chordata; Mammalia; Rodentia; Sciuridae
Source: RNAcentral